Molecule: ribosomal RNA, 434 nt
Filed under: uncultured bacterium
Lineage: Bacteria
Description: partial 16S ribosomal RNA
Rfam family: Bacterial small subunit ribosomal RNA
Source: RNAcentral
AGCGAACGCUGGCGGCAGGCCUAACACAUGCAAGUCGAACGAACCUUUCGGGGUUAGUGGCGGACGGGUGAGUAACACGUGGGAACGUGCCUUUAGGUUCGGAAUAACUCAGGGAAACUUGUGCUAAUACCGAAUGUGCCCUUCGGGGGAAAGAUUAAUCGCCUUUAGAGCGGCCCGCGUCUGAUUAGCUAGUUGGUUGAAGUAAUGGCUCACCAAGGCGACGAUCAGUAGCUGGUCUGAGAGGAUGAUCAGCCACAUUGGGACUGAGACACGGCCCAAACUCCUACGGGAAGCAGCAGUGGGGAAUCUUGCGCAAUGGGCGAAAGCCUGACGCAGCCAUGCCGCGUGAAUGAUGAAGGUCUUAGGAUUGUAAAAUUCUUUCACCGGGGACGAUAAUGACGGUACCCGGAGAAGAAGCCCCGGCUAACUUCGUG